Molecule: ribosomal RNA, 501 nt
Filed under: uncultured bacterium
Lineage: Bacteria
Description: partial 16S ribosomal RNA
Rfam family: Bacterial small subunit ribosomal RNA
Source: RNAcentral
AUUGAACGCUGGCGGCAUGCCUUACACAUGCAAGUCGAACGGCAGCACGGGUUCUUGCACCUGGUGGCGAGUGGCGAACGGGUGAGUAAUACAUCGGAACGUACCUUAUCGUGGGGGAUAACGCAGCGAAAGCUGUGCUAAUACCGCAUACGCCCUGAGGGGGAAAGCGGGGGAUCGCAAGACCUCGCGCGAUUAGAGCGGCCGAUGCCCGAUUAGCUAGUCGGUGGGGUAAAAGCCCACCAAGGCGACGAUCAGUAGCUGGUCUGAGAGGACAGUCAGCCGGACUGGGGAUGGGACACGGCCCAGACUCCUACGGGAGGGAGCAGUGGGGAAUUUUGGACAAUGGGGGCAACCCUGAUCCAGCAAAGCCGCGUGAGUGAAGAAGGCCUUCGGGUUGUAAAGCUCUUUUGUCAGGGAAGAAACACCGGCUCUAACACAGUCCGGGAAUGACGGUACCUGAAGAAUAAGCACCGGCUAACUACGUGCCAGCCGCCGCUGUAA